GACGAACGCUGGCGGCGUGCUUAACACAUGCAAGUCGAACGGAAAGGCCCUGCUUUUGUGGGGUGCUCGAGUGGCGAACGGGUGAGUAACACGUGAGUAACCUGCCCUUGACUUUGGGAUAACUUCAGGAAACUGGGGCUAAUACCGGAUAGGAGCUCCUGCUGCAUGGUGGGGGUUGGAAAGUUUCGGCGGUUGGGGAUGGACUCGCGGCUUAUCAGCUUGUUGGUGGGGUAGUGGCUUACCAAGGCUUUGACGGGUAGCCGGCCUGAGAGGGUGACCGGAGAAAUUGGGACUGAAAGACGGCCGGGACUAGAACGGGAGGGGAGGGUGGGGAGGAGUGAAGGGGAGAAGGAGGGAAAGUGCGACAGAGCGAGGUGGGGUAAGAGGGGAAGGGGUUAGGGAAGCGAAGACGCCGGAAACGGGGGGAGAAUGACGGUAAUGGGUAAAUAAGCACGGGCUAACUACGUG
Molecule: ribosomal RNA, 468 nt
Filed under: uncultured bacterium
Lineage: Bacteria
Description: partial 16S ribosomal RNA
Rfam family: Bacterial small subunit ribosomal RNA (bases 20-332)
Source: RNAcentral